RNAcentral lists this ribosomal RNA (373 nucleotides) under uncultured organism. RNAcentral describes it as "bacterial SSU rRNA". It matches the Rfam family "Bacterial small subunit ribosomal RNA", at positions 526 to 896 of the family's 1533-position model. The record is from RNAcentral.
CGUAGGGUGCGAGCGUUGUCCGGAAUUAUUGGGCGUAAAGAGCUCGUAGGCGGUUUGUUGCGUCGGCCGUGAAAACCUGCGGCUUAACCGUGGGCCUGCGGUCGAUACGGGCAGACUUGAGUUCGGUAGGGGAGACUGGAAUUCCUGGUGUAGCGGUGAAAUGCGCAGAUAUCAGGAGGAACACCGGUGGCGAAGGCGGGUCUCUGGGCCGAUACUGACGCUGAGGAGCGAAAGCGUGGGGAGCGAACAGGAUUAGAUACCCUGGUAGUCCACGCUGUAAACGUUGGGCGCUAGGUGUGGGGAGCAUUCCACGUUCUCCGUGCCGUAGCUAACGCAUUAAGCGCCCCGCCUGGGGAGUACGGCCGCAAGGCUA